GCUGGCCAAAGGACCCCAGAGACCUUCUGCAAGACCAGGAGCUGCUGCAGCCCAGCCUGUUCCUUCCUCUCUUCUUCCCGCUGCCUGGAUUUCCAAGGCUCAGCCCUGCCCUCCCUCCUGCUGGCUGCCUGUGUGGCACAGUUGCCUCCCCGGCAGGCAGCCCCCGACACAGGUGCUAAUGACAGUCUCCUGCAGCCCUGGCAGACAGCGAGGGUAUCUGCCCGAGCUCUGCCAUCAUCUCGAGCAGCAAACCAGCUCUAACCAGCAGGAUUGUCGCCUGUGCUGUGUCAGGCCAGCUCGUGCUGUCUGCCAGCUGCUUGUUGCGCUGCUCUGGGGACUGGGAACACGCCCAGCCCCAGUCCCCAUCUGUUGCAGGCAUGAAGAUCACCGGAGCUCCUGGGAGCAUCCGAACCUUAGAAACGGCCUGAGCUGAAGGGGUCAGGAAACCCCUUCUUGGAUUGGCCUUUGGAAGGUGAAAGCAGGAUUUGUUAGAGCGGAGAGAGCAGCUUGUCGCCGCUACCCAUCCCACCAGCCAGCAUCUCACAGCCCAGCAUCCGGAAGAGGUGACCUUGGGACCCCUCCAGGCUGAGACCUGAGUUCCUUUGCCAUGCCCCUCCUGGAUGGAGAUGUGGAGAACUCAGAGAAGCAUUCUUCUCGGAAGGAGUCCCCUCCACGCUCUCCACGCCGGAUGAGCUUCAGUGGGAUCUUCCGCUCCUCAUCCAAAGAGUCUUCGCCCAACUCCAAC
Rattus rattus (black rat) is the source of this 745-nucleotide long non-coding RNA. RefSeq lists it as uncharacterized. The record is from RefSeq and is a predicted model, not a curated record. Lineage: Eukaryota; Metazoa; Chordata; Mammalia; Rodentia; Muridae. The transcript has 3 exons.